RNAcentral lists this ribosomal RNA (253 nucleotides) under uncultured bacterium. Its description in RNAcentral is "partial 16S ribosomal RNA". It matches the Rfam family "Bacterial small subunit ribosomal RNA", at positions 524 to 776 of the family's 1533-position model. The record is from RNAcentral.
UACAGAGGUCCCAAGCGUUGUUCGGAUCCACUGGGCGUAAAGGGUGCGUAGGCGGUCGGGUAAGUCUGAUGUGAAAUCUCACAGCUUAACUGUGAAACUGCAUUGGAUACUAUCCGGCUCGAGGAAUGGAGGGGAGACUGGAAUACUUGGUGUAGCAGUGAAAUGCGUAGAUAUCAAGUGGAACACCAGUGGCGAAGGCGAGUCUCUGGACAUUUCCUGACGCUGAGGCACGAAAGCCAGGGGAGCAAACGGG